GAUGAACGCUGGCGGCGUGCUUAAUACAUGCAAGUCGAACGGAACGGCUCUGCUAUUGUGGGGUUCUCGAGUGGGGAACGGGGGUGUAACACGUGAGGAACCGUCCCUUGACUUUAGGAUAACUUCAGGAGAGUGGGGAUAAUAGCGGAUAGGAGCUCCUGCUGCAUGGUGGGGGUUGGAAAGUGGCGGCGGUGUGGGAUGGAGUCGCGGUUUAUCAGCUGGUUGGUGGGGUAGUGGCUUACCAAGGCUUUGACGGGUAGCCGGCCUGAGAGGGUGACCGGCGACAAUGCGACUGAGAUACGGCCCAGACUCCUACGGGAGGCAGCAGUGGGGAACAUUGCGCAAUGGGCGCAAGCCUGAUGCAGCAACGCCGCGUGCGGGAUGACCGCCUUCGGGUGGUAAACCGCUUUCGCCUGAGACGAAGACUGAGUGACGGUAAUUAGUAAAAAAGCACCGGCUAACUACGUG
This 468-nucleotide ribosomal RNA is filed under the name uncultured bacterium. Its description in RNAcentral is "partial 16S ribosomal RNA". It matches the Rfam family "Bacterial small subunit ribosomal RNA", at positions 28 to 507 of the family's 1533-position model. The record is from RNAcentral.